RNAcentral lists this ribosomal RNA (374 nucleotides) under uncultured bacterium. RNAcentral's name for it is "bacterial SSU rRNA". It matches the Rfam family "Bacterial small subunit ribosomal RNA", at positions 355 to 724 of the family's 1533-position model. The record is from RNAcentral.
CAACGAAUAUUCCGCAAUGGACGCAAGCCUGACGGAGCGACACCGCGUGCAGGAUGAAGGCCUUCGGGUUGUAAACUGCUGUCACGUUUUCGGAAUGGCGCAGCGUUAAUAGCGCUGCGCUUGACCAUGGCGAAAGGAAGCACCGGCUAACUCUGUGCCAGCAGCCGCGGUAAGACAGAGGGUGCAAACGUUGUUCGGAAUUACUGGGCAUAAAGAGCACGUAGGUGGUCUGCUAAGUCAUGUGUGAAAUCCCCCGGNUCAACCGGGGAAUUGCGCCUGAUACUGGCAGGCUUGAGGUCGGUAGGGGUGAGUGGAACUCCAGGUGGAGCGGUGAAAUGCGUAGAUAUCUGGAGGAACACCGGUGGCGAAGGCGG